Molecule: ribosomal RNA, 984 nt
Filed under: Alternaria sp.
Lineage: Eukaryota; Fungi; Ascomycota; Dothideomycetes; Pleosporales; Pleosporaceae
Description: SSU rRNA
Rfam family: Eukaryotic small subunit ribosomal RNA
Source: RNAcentral
AGUUAUCGUUUAUUUGAUAAUACCUUACUACUUGGAUAACCGUGGUAAUUCUAGAGCUAAUACAUGCUGAAAAUCCCGACUUCGGAAGGGAUGUGUUUAUUAGAUAAAAAACCAAUGCCCUUCGGGGCUUUUUGGUGAUUCAUGAUAACUUUACGGAUCGCAUAGCCUUGCGCUGGCGACGGUUCAUUCAAAUUUCUGCCCUAUCAACUUUCGAUGGUAAGGUAUUGGCUUACCAUGGUUUCAACGGGUAACGGGGAAUUAGGGUUCGAUUCCGGAGAGGGAGCCUGAGAAACGGCUACCACAUCCAAGGAAGGCAGCAGGCGCGCAAAUUACCCAAUCCCGACACGGGGAGGUAGUGACAAUAAAUACUGAUACAGGGCUCUUUUGGGUCUUGUAAUUGGAAUGAGUACAAUUUAAACCUCUUAACGAGGAACAAUUGGAGGGCAAGUCUGGUGCCAGCAGCCGCGGUAAUUCCAGCUCCAAUAGCGUAUAUUAAAGUUGUUGCAGUUAAAAAGCUCGUAGUUGAAACUUGGGCCUGGCUGGCGGGUCCGCCUCACCGCGUGCACUCGUCCGGCCGGGCCUUCCUUCUGAAGAACCUCAUGCCCUUCACUGGGCGUGCUGGGGAAUCAGGACUUUUACUUUGAAAAAAUUAGAGUGUUCAAAGCAGGCCUUUGCUCGAAUACGUUAGCAUGGAAUAAUAAAAUAGGGCGUGCGUUUCUAUUUUGUUGGUUUCUAGAGACGCCGCAAUGAUUAACAGGAACAGUCGGGGGCAUCAGUAUUCAGUUGUCAGAGGUGAAAUUCUUGGAUUUACUGAAGACUAACUACUGCGAAAGCAUUUGCCAAGGAUGUUUUCAUUAAUCAGUGAACGAAAGUUAGGGGAUCGAAGACGAUCAGAUACCGUCGUAGUCUUAACCGUAAACUAUGCCGACUAGGGAUCGGGCGAUGUUCUUUUUCUGACUCGCUCGGCACCUUACGAGAAAUCAA